GAUGAACGCUGGCGGCGUGCCUAAUACAUGCAAGUCGAGCGAACAGACGAGGACCUUGCUCCUCUGACGUUAGCGGCGGACGGGUGAGUAACACGUGGAUAACCUACCUAUAAGACUGGGAUAACUUCGGGAAACCGGAGCUAAUACCGGAUAAUAUAUUGAACCGCAUGGUUCAAUAGUGAAAGACGGUUUUGCUGUCACUUAUUGAUGGAUCCGCGCCGCAUUAGCUAGUUGGUAAGGUAACGGCUUACCAAGGCGACGAUGCGUAGCCGACCUGAGAGGGUGAUCGGCCACACUGGAACUGAGACACGGUCCAGACUCCUACGGGAGGCAGCAGUAGGGAAUCUUCCGCAAUGGGCGAAAGCCUGACGGAGCAACGCCGCGUGAGUGAUGAAGGUCUUCGGAUCGUAAAACUCUGUUAUUAGGGAAGAACAAAUGUGUAAGUAACUAUGCACGUCUUGACGGUACCUAAUCAGAAAGCCACGGCUAACUACGUG
Molecule: ribosomal RNA, 497 nt
Filed under: uncultured bacterium
Lineage: Bacteria
Description: partial 16S ribosomal RNA
Rfam family: Bacterial small subunit ribosomal RNA
Source: RNAcentral